UUCCUACGGGGCGCAGCAGUGGGGAAUAUUGCACAAUGGGGGAAACCCUGAUGCAGCGACGCCGCGUGAGCGAUGAAGUAUUUCGGUAUGUAAAGCUCUAUCAGCAGGGAAGAAAAUGACGGUACCUGACUAAGAAGCCCCGGCUAACUACGUGCCAGCAGCCGCGGUAAUACGUAGGGGGCAAGCGUUAUCCGGAUUUACUGGGUGUAAAGGGAGCGUAGACGGCUGUGCAAGCCAGAUGUGAAAGCCCGGAGCUCAACCCCGGGACUGCAUUUGGAACUGCGUGGCUUGAGUGUCGGAGAGGG
Molecule: ribosomal RNA, 305 nt
Filed under: uncultured bacterium
Lineage: Bacteria
Description: bacterial SSU rRNA
Rfam family: Bacterial small subunit ribosomal RNA
Source: RNAcentral